UGGUGGGUAGUUUGACUGGGGCGGUCUCCUCCUAAAGAGUAACGGAGGAGCACGAAGGUUGGCUAAUCCUGGUCGGACAUCAGGAGGUUAGUGCAAUGGCAUAAGCCAGCUUGACUGCGAGCGUGACGGCGCGAGCAGGUGCGAAAGCAGGUCAUAGUGAUCCGGUGGUUCUGAAUGGAAGGGCCAUCGCUCAACGGAUAAAAGGUACUCCGGGGAUAACAGGCUGAUACCGCCCAAGAGUUCAUAUCGACGGCGGUGUUUGGCACCUCGAUGUCGGCUCAUCACAUCCUGGGGCUGAAGUAGGUCCCAAGGGUAUGGCUGUUCGCCAUUUAAAGUGGUACGCGAGCUGGGUUUAGAACGUCGUGAGACAGUUCGGUCCCUAUCUGCCGUGGGCGCUGGAGAACUGAGGGGGGCUGCUCCUAGUACGAGAGGACCGGAGUGGACGCAUCACUGGUGUUCGGGUUGUCAUGCCAAUGGCACUGCCCGGUAGCUAAAUGCGGAAGAGAUAAGUGCUGAAAGCAUCUAAGCACGAAACUUGCCCCGAGAUGAGUUCUCCCUGAGACUUUAAGUCUCCUGAAGGAACGUUGAAGACGACGACGUUGAUAGGCCGGGUGUGUAAGCGCAGCGAUGCGUUGAGCUAACCGGUACUAAUGAACCGUGAGGC
Molecule: ribosomal RNA, 664 nt
Filed under: Salmonella enterica subsp. enterica serovar Infantis
Lineage: Bacteria; Pseudomonadati; Pseudomonadota; Gammaproteobacteria; Enterobacterales; Enterobacteriaceae
Also listed under: 1 other name
Description: partial 23S ribosomal RNA
Rfam family: Bacterial large subunit ribosomal RNA
Source: RNAcentral